AUCGAACCCCCGACCCUGGAGGUGUGAGGCGAACAUGCUAACCACUAAGCCACCGUGCCAUGAGGCUGGCAGGUGGGGAAAAAAAUCACAGUCUACUCACUACAAAAAACUAGACUACACCACUGCAGAAACGCUAAGCUCCACCCACAUUAGCUGUCACAUGGUAUAUACUGAGACACUCUGUUGUUGACGGACAUCAAUUUCCUUCAUCAACCUUCUAAACCAAACCCACUAUAGCAGAAACGAUCUGCAUCACUGCAGAGGUUCUGAUUGGAACCCUUUAUGACGUCUCAGAGAGAUUCUAGGUGUCCUCGAAGGUUCUACUUUUUCUAUACAGGAACCUUUCUGUGGUUGGUUCUAGACAUUAGUAGUAAGGGUUCCCCAAGACACACCAGCUGAAGAACCCCAUACCUUUUUGAGGGGUCCCAGAGAGAACCUUUUAUUUGGGCAGUCCUUAUAAUAGGUUCUACUAGGGAACCUUUCUGAAAUGGAAUCCCUGUGCUGUAGGUUACUCCAGGCACAAGCUGAAGAACCAGUAUGGAGACAAAAAUAUUCUUUUAAUAUUCUGUUAAACAUGGCCCAAAACUUGGUGGUAUAAUUUUUGAGAACAAAGCUCUUUAUUGUCUGGUGUUCUGAAAGAUUCUUUGUACAAUUACUGGUUCUAGCGCAGUUUAGAAUAGAAUAGGAUAGAACGUGGCACAGAAGCCUUUAUUAUCGCCACAUGUACAUUACAGCACAGUGGAAUUCUUUUCUACACAUACCACAACUGAGGAGGUUGGGGUCAAAGUGCAGGGGCAGCUAUGAUACAGCACCCCUGGAGCGGGGUUGAGGGCCUUGCUCAAGGGCCCAGCAGUGGCAGCUUGGCUGUGCGGGGGCUUGAACCCCGAUCCUUCACCCAGAGCCUUAACCAGUUGAGCCAGCACUGUUUAGGGGUUCACUUUACUCAGAACACUUUACCAAUGGGGAUCUUUUUGUUUUAGGGUUUUUGAGACACGUUUCUGGAGACGCAAAUUGAAGUGUGUGUGUGUGUGUGUGUGUGUGUGUGUGUGUGUGUGUGUGUGUGUGUGUGUGUGUGUGUGUGUGUGUGUGUAGUUAUUGUAAAACAGGAGAGAGACACUGACACACCUGACACAGGUAUAUUAAACACUACAACAAUGAGGAAUAAGGACCUGGAGCAUCUAGGGAUCGGGGCUGAGGGGCAGAUGAAGUGUCGCUGGUGUUCGGUCCCACGAGCGAGUCUGUCAUGUUCGAUUCCCUCUCAGUCAGCUGCUAAAAUUCAACAGCCAAUCAGAGCGUUUUGAACGAAUCGUCGUGAUUUGCAUAAACAUACGCUCAUGUUAUCAGAUAUCAGGUUUCACUAGACGACUUUAUUUGCACAAUUCUGCUUGUAUCGAAGGUUGCGGUUAAGGGGCGGAGUUUACGAUGUUGUCUUUUAUAUUCCGUCGUGUGUUUGUUUGGGUUUGAUCGAAAUCCAUCCAGACCCGUGUUACUCCUCUAGAUUAAUAAAUAUGUAUGAGAUCAGGUUACCAUGGCAAUUUCCUGGAUGUAAAGCAUCUCACUGUACUGUACAUAUGUAUGUGUGUCACGACAAUAAAGGGUGUUUCUUUUUAAAUAAAUACGAAAACGGUUUA
Molecule: long non-coding RNA, 1631 nt
Organism: Tachysurus fulvidraco (yellow catfish)
Lineage: Eukaryota; Metazoa; Chordata; Actinopteri; Siluriformes; Bagridae
Exons: 2
Source: RefSeq, a predicted model, not a curated record